Molecule: ribosomal RNA, 496 nt
Filed under: uncultured bacterium
Lineage: Bacteria
Description: partial 16S ribosomal RNA
Rfam family: Bacterial small subunit ribosomal RNA
Source: RNAcentral
GAUGAACGCUGGCGGCGUGCCUAAUACAUGCAAGUCGAGCGAACGGACGAGAAGCUUGCUUUUCUGAUGUUAGCGGCGGACGGGUGAGUAACACGUGGAUAACCUACCUAUAAGACUGGGAUAACUUCGGGAAACCGGAGCUAAUACCGGAUAAUAUUUUGAACCGCAUGGCUCAAAAGUGAAAGACGGUCUUGCUGUCACUUAUAGAUGGAUCCGCGCUGCAUUAGCUAGUUGGUAAGGUAACGGCUUACCAAGGCAACGAUGCAUAGCCGACCUGAGAGGGUGAUCGGCCACACUGGAACUGAGACACGGUCCAGACUCCUACGGGAGGCAGCAGUAGGGAAUCUUCCGCAAUGGGCGAAAGCCUGACGGAGCAACGCCGCGUGAGUGAUGAAGGUCUUCGGAUCGUAAAACUCUGUUAUUAGGGAAGAACAUAUGUGUAAGUAACUGUGCACAUCUUGACGGUACCUAAGCAGAAAGCCACGGCUAACUACGU